AGCGAACGCUGGCGGCAGGCUUAACACAUGCAAGUCGAGCGGGCCCUUCGGGGUCAGCGGCAGACGGGUGAGUAACACGUGGGAACGUACCCUUUGGUUCGGAAUAACGCUGGGAAACUAGCGCUAAUACCGGAUACGCCCUUUUGGGGAAAGGCUUGCUUCCGAAGGAUCGGCCCGCGUCUGAUUAGCUAGUUGGUGGGGUAAUGGACUACCAAGGCGACGAUCAGUAGCUGGUCUGAGAGGAUGAUCAGCCACACUGGGACUGAGACACGGCCCAGACUCCUACGGGAGGAAGAAGUGGGGAAUAUUGGACAAUGGGCGCAAGCCUGAUCCAGCCAUGCCGCGUGAGUGAUGAAGGACUUAGGGUUGUAAAGCUCUUUUGUCCGGGACGAUAAUGACGGUACCGGAAGAAUAAGCCCCGGCUAACUUCGUG
Molecule: ribosomal RNA, 433 nt
Filed under: uncultured bacterium
Lineage: Bacteria
Description: partial 16S ribosomal RNA
Rfam family: Bacterial small subunit ribosomal RNA
Source: RNAcentral